RNAcentral lists this ribosomal RNA (1838 nucleotides) under Triticum aestivum (bread wheat). RNAcentral describes it as "partial small subunit ribosomal RNA". The record is from RNAcentral. Lineage: Eukaryota; Viridiplantae; Streptophyta; Magnoliopsida; Poales; Poaceae.
ACCGCGCACACUGGAGUCAAGCCUCGUCGCCUCGACCCCGCUGACCCGUGGUCUUCUCCGCCAUGGCGGAUGCGACGAAGCCUCUCCACCCGGUCCUGCAGGCGGUUGACGACGGCAACCUCCGCCUCCUCAAAGGUACCAGCAACAACCAGCCCUUACUACUGCUCCUGCCCCUCCUGUCCCUAGUCCGUACCCUUAGGGUUCCUGAUCGCCCAGAGACGGCGGGCGUCGUGGCGGACGACGGCAUCUGGUCGCGCGCGCUGGUUCUGGCGGCCAUGAAUGGGCGGCUGGACGUCUGCCGGUGCCUCGUCGAGGACCUCCGCGUCGAUGUCAACCAGCGCACCUUCACAGGUGAUACAGCUCUGGCCAUUUCUGCAGCUUAUGGGACAGCUGCUAUCACAAAAUAUCUUCUAGAUCGCGGCGCUGAUCCAACUUUAGUUGGUGCCCUGUGGCCACCUCUUCAUGGUGCUGCAAUGAGUGGAGAAUGUGAAAUACUAGAACUGCUGCUUUCAGCUGGAAUUGAUGUGGAUUGUUUCGAUUCUGUGUACGGGACCCCAUUGCAUGCUGCCGCUGCUGUUGGUGAAGAUGGCGCGGUGAAUAUUUUGUUGGAGCAUCAUGCAGAUCCUGAUAAGAUUCUCAACCUUCAUAGCACCCCGCUAAAUCUGUCCAUACUUUCCAAAUCGCUGGAAUGUGUGAAGCUACUCAUUAAGGCUGGUGCUGAUGUGAAUAAAAUUGACCAUAAUGGUUAUACUUACCUGAUGGUAGCAGCGGACAUUUGCUUACCUGGUAUCAUGAAGUGCUUACUAGAUGCUGGUGCUAACCCCGAUAUUCCUGAUCCAUUUGGUACAACUGCAAUUGAAAUUGCUGCCCUCCGAGGCAGAAGGGAUAUGGUUGAGAUGUUAUUUCCUUUAGCUUCUACUAUUUCAACGUUGCCGGAUUGGAGUGUUGAUGGAAUUAUUUGUCAUGUGAAAUCAUGUGGUUUGCCGAAGGAUAUACAUCUAUGUGAAAAGAAAAGAGCUGAACUGAAAUUGCAAGCUACAGAGGCUUUUAAGAGAAAGGAACAUAUGAUAGCGGUAGAGCUAUGUACUUGUGCAAUGAAUUUUGAGCCAAGUGCAGAAGAUCUUGCAAUCCUCCUAGCAAAUAGGAGUUUAUGUCUGCUGCACUCGGGAAGAGGAAAAGACGCGCUCUCUGAUGCUACUAGGUGCACAAUGUUGCGACCUCUCUGGCCCAAAGGUUACUAUCGACUAGGGGCAGCCUUAAUGUUUCUAGAGGACUAUGAAGAAGCGUCUCGGGCUUUUGCGGAUGGCUUGGAACUGGAUCCUGCAAAUGCUCUAAGGGAAGCCCAAGAGGCAGUGAAAAACCCUCCUUGCACCGGAGAGCUGGGGUGCCUUAGCCCACUUGGGAUCAGACGUUCCCGGUGAAGUUGAGGCUCUCUUCUGUUGCUAUCUCCAGGGAAAGAGGAAAAGCUGGAAAAUGCCACGCAGAUGGGCUGGAAUCGUGUGUGCACCCAACUGCUGCUGCACGUGCUUGCGUACCCCGUCCCCCCACCACUGCCGCGUACGACAACGGCUUCCUGUGCCUUCCAUGUUCCUGCCCCCCACCAUGACGAGUGUGCCAAAAAGCACAUCCAAAUAACCCUAUCCAGUGCGCUCCCAUGCUUGAGUAGGGCUGCAUUAAACUGUGGAGGAGUGGUUUCGUUCUCGAAGGUUCACGUGGUCAAGCUACCAAAAAAAACUCAUUUACACACUUUUCCAACAAAAAACAUGACAAUAUUUCUAUAUAUCGAGAAAUCUAACCACUAGUCGACUGGUGGUUAGCGACAGGCACGUACGAUCGCU